RNAcentral lists this ribosomal RNA (493 nucleotides) under uncultured bacterium. Its description in RNAcentral is "bacterial SSU rRNA". It matches the Rfam family "Bacterial small subunit ribosomal RNA", at positions 903 to 1397 of the family's 1533-position model. The record is from RNAcentral.
AAAUGAAUUGACGGGGGCCCGCACAAGCGGUGGAGCAUGUGGUUUAAUUCGAAGCUACGCGAAGAACCUUACCAGGCCUUGACAUCACCCGGAAAGCCGUGGAAACACGGCCCUCCUUCGGGACCGGGUGACAGGUGGUGCAUGGUCGUCGUCAGCUCGUGUCGUGAGAUGUUGGGUUAAGUCCCGCAACGAGCGCAACCCUCGCCCUUAGUUGCCAGCACUUCGGGUGGGCACUCUAAGGGGACUGCCGGUGACAAACCGGAGGAAGGUGGGGAUGACGUCAGAUCAUCAUGCCCCUUAUGGCCUGGGCUACACACGUGCUACAAUGGCCGGUACAGACGGAGGCGAACCCGCGAGGGGGAGCGAAUCCGAGAAAGCCGGUCUCAGUUCGGAUCGCAGGCUGCAACUCGCCUGCGUGAAGGCGGAAUCGCUAGUAAUCGCGGGUCAGCAUACCGCGGUGAAUACGUUCCCGGGCCUUGUACACACCGCCCGU